UGCUCAUUGGCCACAUUUGGCUCGCCACGCCCCUCCCGUCCGUGGCCCCGCCCCUCGUGGGCGUGGCCUGUCGUCGCGGCGACGCGGACGUGGGAGGACCCGGAUGUGGCUGGAUCCCAACAUGGCCGCGGCGGCGGCGGCUGACGCUCUUACCGGAGCACCUGGAACGCGGAGCUGAGACAGGACCGUUUUCCCUUCGCGGAAGGAAAACAACCCCUUGGAGCAGCCCCGACCUGUUCCCAGCAGGAUCUGGGCUGGGAUUCCAGAGCUCCAGGGAUCAUCGGGAUCAGCCGUGCGAAUCAGGAAAACGCGCUUUCACCCAUUCCGCCGGAAUUCCGGGAGUUUUCGGGACGCUUUGCUCUGUCCCUCUUGCUGCUUUCCCGAGGAUCCCGAAUUCCCAGCGGGGGGGAGCCCCGGAGGUGGAAAUUUGGAAAUUUUUCAUGGAAGAUGUGGAUUUGGAGGGUUUGGAGUCUCUUCCUGUUCCGGCUGACAUCAGGAAAAUAAUUCCCCAAGAGGAAAAAUCCAGCUCAGGGAUUUUCCAGCAGAGACUUUGGCUCUUCUCUCUUCUUCCCAAAAGGAUCAAACCCAGCAUGAGUUUGGGAUUCAG
This 607-nucleotide long non-coding RNA is filed under the name Lonchura striata (white-rumped munia). Its description in RNAcentral is "domestica (Bengalese finch) lncRNA (ENSLSDG00000004416.1)". Lineage: Eukaryota; Metazoa; Chordata; Aves; Passeriformes; Estrildidae. The record is from RNAcentral.